ACACACACAACUCUUUUUCUAUUAUUAUUUGUUUUUUCUUCUCUUUUCUUUUCUUUUCUUUUCUUUUUUUUUUUACAUCCACAUUUACACCAAGUACAAAUUAUAAAAAAAAAAACUCAAAAUUACACAAAUAUUACAUUACACAAUUUGAAAAUUACAAAAUAAUCCAAAAAAUCAGGAAAAACAACUCUGGGAUGCAUUCUGGGUCUGCCUGAACAGUAGCGGCGCAUCUCCCCACGCGCCUCCGCCAUUGGCGGCGCGUGGAUUCACGCGCCGCUGCUGACAAUGACCGGAAAUGGGCAGAUCUGCCCUGCUUUCUUCUUCCCUUCCCUUCUCUGCUGGCUGUGAGAACCACAGUUACCUGCAAAGGUAAAAACACACAUGCAAAGCUUCCGAUUCUUUUUCCCUUUUUUUUUUUAGAUCUACGCUCUCUUGUCUUCUCCUUUUGGUUUUCUGUUCUUCCCUUCUGCAGGUGGCGGACGGCUCUGAGGUCAGGGUGUCUCUGUGAGCGGCUGGAGGAAGGUGAGCAGCGGCUGGUUUCUGUGGGCGCCGCCGUAUGGGGGCUGUCGCUGGAGGGCAAAUCUGCGAACGCUGCUGGAGGGAGAAGACGGACCGCUCCGAGUCUGUGGGCGAUGCUGCUGCUGACGGCGAAGACCAGGAAGAAGACAGCGGGGGCUGACGUUGUGUUCGGCUUGAGGAAGAGAGCUUGUCCGUGGGUGAGGGGGGAGUGAGCGGCUGCUUAGGUGAGGGGGGAGUGAGCUUGUCCGUGGGUGAGGGGGGACGGCGGCUGUCUUCAACAGGGAAAGGGAGGCUUCGGCUGAGGGGAGAAGACUGGGGUCCGUCUGGUCAGAAGAGGAAGGUCGGCUGAGGGAGAAGAGAAAAAAUCAAAAAAGGGGGGGGGGCUGGCCAGGCGGCGACUGCCUUCUGGUGAGGGAGAGAAAAAGCUAAGCUUUUAGGGUUUGUGUUUUUUUGUGUUGCCUCUCCCCCAAAUCUCAAAAUGGCCCCCCUUUGGUUUUGAGUUUUGGACCUAUAUUUAUAGGUAAAAUGUUGUCCGGACUCAAAAUUGGUCCUUCAAUUUUUUUUUUUGUAAAUUUUGAUUUUUCUUGUUUUUUCUUGUAUUUUUAAAAACGAGCAAUAUCAACGUUGACUCAAAGAGAAAAAUCAAGGAUUUUAAAAACAACGCGUGAAAAUUCGAACGCAUUCGAAAACUUCUGAAAAUUUAAAUUUUUUUUUAGACGACGUUGAAAAUGCUAAAAACGAUGCAAAUAUAUAAAAACAUAUUUUUUUGGAUUUUCGUUGUUUUUCGCUAUUUUUGGAUUUUUUCAAAACUUUUAUCAAAUAGGUGGGUCAAAAAUUGAGUAGCAACAGAUGCCCCCUCUUUACAAUGCUUACGAAGCAAAAUUCCUCAAUGUUUUGCAUAGUAAGCUUUGUAAAGAAAAGAAAAAGAAAAUGAUCUCAUUAUCUUGGGCAACUGCCCCUUUUAAAGAAAAAGUGGUCUAUUUUCACGGGCGACCUGCCCACACAUACUCAUUAUGGUCUAUUUUUAGGGGCGACCUGCCCACACACUCACACGGGUCUAUUUUCACGGGCGACCUGCCCACACAUACUCAAAGUGGUCUAUUUUCACGGGCGACCUGCCCACACACUCACACAAUGGUCUAUUUUCAAGGGCGACCAGCCCACACAUACUCAAAGUGGUCUAUUUUCACGGGCGACCUGCCCACACACUCACACUGGUCUAUUUUCACAGGCGACCUGCCCACACAUACUCAAAGUGGUCUAUUUUCAAAGGCGACCUACCAUUUUGAUUGGGUUUACCUGAGAUCCCAUCUGGCGAUCUAACAAGAACAAAAAUUGGUGUGUAGCUCGGUCAACCUGAAAUCCCAUCUAGCGAUUCCCUUUAACCAAAGCUAAAUUCUGCAUGGUUAGGCUAAACUGAGAUCCUUUUGCCGAUCCCCUUUAACCAGAACCAAAACUCUUGUGUGCGAUUAGGAUAGACUGAGAUUCCUUUCGCCAAUCCCCUCUAACCAGAACCGAAACUCUUGUAUGGUUAGGAUAGACUGAGAUUCCUUUCGCUAAUCCCCUCUAACCAGAACCAAAAUCUAUGUGGUUGGGCUGAACUGAGACCCCUUCGCCGAUCCCCUUCAACCAGAACCAAAACUCCUGUGUGCGGUUAGGAUAGACUGAGAUUCCUUUCGCCAAUCCCCUCUAACCAGAACCGAAACUCCUGUAUGGUUAGGAUAGACUGAGAUUCCUUUCGUCAAUCCCCUCUAACCAGAACCAAAAUCUGUGUGGUUGGGCUGAACUGAGACCCCUUCGCCGAUCCCCUUCAACCAGAACCAAAAUCUGUGUGCGGUUAGGAUAGAUUGAGAUUCCUUUCGCCAAUCCCCUCUAACCAGAAUCGAAACUCCUGUAUGGUUAGGAUAGACUGAGAUUCCUUUCGCCAAUCCCCUCUAACCAGAACCAAAAUCUGUGUGGUUAGGCUGAACUGAGACCCCUUCGCCGAUCCCCUUCAACCAGAACCAAAACUCCUGUGUGCGGUUAGGAUAGACUGAGAUUCCUUUCGCCAAUCCCCUCUAACCAAAACCAAAACUCCUGUAUGGUUAGGAUAGACUGAGAUCAGAACCAAAAUCUGUGUGUGUAGCUCGGUCUACCUGAAAUCCCAUCUGGCGAUUCCCUUUAACCAAAGCUACGUGAGAUCCCAUCUGGCGACCUCCUUUAACAAAAACCAAAAAAUGUAAAAAGUGGUCUCAUUGUAAUGGGUGACCUACCCAGAUGAAAGAAUGUUAAAAACGGUCUCAUUAUGAUGGGUGACCUACCCAAGUGGAAAAAAUGAUGGUCUCAUUGUGAUGGGUGACCUACCCAAAGAAAGAUGGUCUCAUUAUGAUGGGUGACCUACCCAGAGAAAGAUGGUCUCAUUAUGAUGGGUGACCUACCCAGAUGGAAAAAUGUGACUUACCUGGCAAAAAGACUUGGCUGGAGAAGUCUUGACAGGAUAAGGUUGACAAACUGCGCUUCCUGAUUACAGGGUUGACUUGAAGACCCCUCUUGAUGACAGGGUUGAUCUCCUCGUUUCUUUGAGAUUCCCCUACUAGCAGGGUUCAUCUCAUUCUCUUCUCGUUCCAGGAUCUAAACCAAUUCUUUGUUAUCAUCAACUCAAUGAUUCUUUCUUUGUCCACAAUCUUGCUGGACUUCAUUGAGGAUCUUCCUGUAACAAUCACAAGUAUGUGCAGUGCUUUGAGGUUAGAUGGCAUGCAUGCAUCCUUACCUGAUUUGAAAUAUAGGUCCCCCCCUCUUUGAUGAUCCAUUGUUAUGAGGUGCCUUUGUUUGCAUUCCAAAGCUUUCUUUGUUCUUUCGAUGCAUUUGCGUGCUAGCCUUCUACUCAAAUGCAAGUACAAUGCCCAUCUUAGGCUGUCCACGGUGAUUACUACUCUCGUUGUUUAUCAAGCUGGACUCUGCCCCCAAGUGUGGUGUUGCUUGAUUCAUCAUGAAGGAUUUUCUCUUUUGGAUUCUUCUAAGAAUUAUCCUCUGAUUGGUUGUGUGCAUCAUGCCAACACCCAUCAAAAUGGUCAAUCAAUCAUGAACUUACUUCCAGCUAAAACAAUACUUUUCAAGUAUAUGUUAUCAUCAACCUUCUUGGAACUGUCAGGUCAUCCAGACAUGGAUCUCAUACCUUGCAGUAAAAGCCUCAUCGUUGUUAGCUCAAUGUUUUUCUCCAUGGAUUCCUCUCAGUUUGUCAAAUCAAAUCAUGAAAGGAAAUGCAUUGGCAUCAUCAAUGAUGUUCAUCACCCAUAUUCAUGCAGUGAAGUGCGCAUUUGAGCUUCAAAACAAAUGGUCCCACAGUCAAUCUUAGUGGGUGCAUCCUUCCAACAUUCAUUCAAAUGCAACAAUGUGAUAACAUCGCUCAAAAGUCAUAGCCAUGUUGGAGAUGAUAAACCAAAAUGAAGAUAUGAAAAUAUCCUUCAAGUGCAGCGUUGCCCAUUAAUUGCUGCUGAAGUUCACUAAAUCAUGGAUUGUCUUUGAACAACAUUGCCCCCAAUAUGAUCUGAACAUGCUCAUUCUUCUUUCUAUAACCAAAUGGCUUUUGUGAUCGCUAAGAAUGACUUUGAUGGACUUCGCCAACUCAUCGUUCGAUUCUUUCUCUGCCCCCAGCUGAUCUGAAUACCUUUUGUUUUCCUUCUCAGGGUCCACUGUAUUGACCCAGGUGGUCAACUUUUCAAGGAGUGUCAAGAAGUGUUGAUGUCAUUCUUGUCAAGGAUUUUGCAAACUCGAUCGAUAUUCUUCUUAUUUGACAAUCUUUCUAUUCUGGAAUCAACUCUCAUACUCCAAAGAUCAUGUCUAUCCAAAGUCUAGUUGUUGGAAUGAAAUCAGAGAGAUGUCAAUUUUGAAAAGUAUUUUUGGAAAUCAAGCUUGUUUGGUCAAAGAUCCAACACACGUUAUUCAAUGUAGUCCUUUGAUUGUCGUGUAUUUUGAAAACAGAAAUGACCCGUUGUAAGAUUAAAAUGACUUUUUUCAUGGUUCUUUGUGUCAGUUUUAAUCUUUGAUCUUUGGGUAUACCUUUCGAUGGUCUACGAUGAGGUGACCUUCUGUGAAUUUCAAGAAACAAAAGGCUCAAGUCAAAACUUGAGGAUUCAUCAAGAAAGAUUGUUUUCUUUUUUUUAGCACCAAUUUUAUCAGCAUGCAUAAUAACCAGUAGCUUAAUCCAUGAAGUCACGACCCUUAUGGAAAAGCUCUUCAAGUUUUGAGAGCGCCAUUUAUCAAUUCAAAUUGCUUGCUUGAUUAAAAAGGGCUUUUAAAAGCACGUAAUGCAGGCUAUGGUUCAUGGCUAUGAAAGAAAGGAAUUUCACAGGCUCAAAUGGUGUUUAAGGGUUUCAAAGACCCAGGAUCAACAUCAACUAUUCACCAACUUGUUUUCUAUUGUUGUCUUUGUAGAGGAAACGACAUAUAACCUUGUUAAUCUCAAAGAUCAGACUUCUCUUAACAUAAGUCAUAAUGCAAAUCCACCUUUCCUUAAUGAAUAACCAACCUUAAUCAUCUGAUAACAUCAUAGGCUUGAUAAUGGAAACCAAAAGUCACGUUUAUAGCUUAGUCUUUUUUCUGGUGUUGACUUUUGUUGUGUCUUUCCUUGAUUGAAAUUUCUUUUGCCCUUCCUAGACUUGAUAGGCGUUCUCCUUCCUUUAUCUUUGACUUGCCUUUAAACGAAGGCAAUUUCAACUUCUUCUUUUUUUCAAUUCUUUUUUUUUUCUUUUUUUUUCUUUUUUGUUUUCUCAUAGCCUUCCUCAAAAUUUCUUAUAUGCCCCCAGUCUAUGUGUUUUCUUUUAGCCCUCUCUCAAUCAUUGGACUUUUGUUCUAAGCCUUCCCCUUUAUCCAUUAAUUAUAUCAAUGUCUCCAACAUAUCUCUCAUCUGCCCCCAGUGUGGGGUGUGAUCCAAGUCAGGGUUUUUAUGAAAAGAAUAUUCUAUCCAGCUCAAAAUGGGACUACAAGGGAUAUAAUCUUUAGAAAGUGAAGGGAUAUCAAAGAUGGCCUUUUCUCAUUUCAAGCAAGGUCGGUUAGAACCGAUCAAUUUUGACCCCAUCCGGUGUAAUGAUUGGGACUUGUAAGAAUUAUGAUUCACGAGUCCAUAACUACCGAAUCCACUACAUGUUAUUAUGCAUACUGCUAAAACUUAGCUAUAUGAUGUGUGGUUCAGUUUCAGGAGGUAUGAGUUCAAAAUUGUUUAGUCACCUCAUGUCAUUUUCAAGCAUCGAGUCAUUUCUGUAAUCAAAACACUUUUAAUCUUCCGGAUUGAUUAACCUUUAUCGCAUGUUGGAGUUUGAUCAAAAUAUUUUGUCAGAAUGAAAUGCUAAACAUCUUUGGAUUUCAAAACAACAAAGAGACAAAAACAAGACAUGUUUCGUUAAAGGAUGAGAUGUGAUCCCAAAACAAAAUGCAGAAUUCCAUAACAAUAUGAUUGACAAUUCAUCGCCAUUCUUGAAUCAGCUUUUCUGGCAAUAUCUGUGUUUUGCCAAGCACUUUCGAUCACAUGUCAUUCUGAAGAUGUUCGGGGGAUAAUAUAGCCAAUGACACUCUCCUUCACAAACUCUACUUGUCUCUUGCUCACUGACUUCCGGACUCGCUUCUUGAAAUUCUUGCAACUGUUCCAGUAAAUGGCUGAGUACCCCACCAUGACAUCACAUCUCUUGUUCGGAUUAUACCACCUAAAAAAUGGUAGUUGCAUGGGAUUUGUCGGAGUCAAGCAAAAAUCUGGAAUCUGGCAGAUGCUGGUAAAUAAACUCACAUGACAACUGUUCAAUUGAAAUUCUUGCAGCAAUUCCAUUGAAAUGGCCGAGGACCCCACCAUCACAUCACAUCACAUCACAUCUCUUGUCUGGAUUAUACCACAUGGCAAAUGAAUGUCUAUCUUUGGCAAAGACAUUGGAGUAGUCGAUGAUACAACGAGACUUGGCUAGACCACAUAAUUAAGGUUUCCCACCGUCAGAGUCUUCCUUUGAUUCAUCUCUCAUCAUUGUUCUGGAAUCCUUGGCAGAACCUUCAAUCUUUCCCAUCUUGAUAGCUUGUUCAUUUUUUUGGCAAUUCAUACAACUUCAUGUCAAUCUUCCAAUGUUAUUGUUGUUGUUUUAGGAUUGUUGGAAACCUCUCAAUAGCUAAGGAAUCCUGGUAGUGCAUAAAAACAAAAACGUGUGGAAUCACACAUUGUCAAAACUGGAAGAGAGCCCGAUGAAUCUAAAGCUCCUCUAUCUCCUCUUCGAUUCCUCACAGACAAUGGAACAAACAGACAUCUGUAAAGGGAGUUCUGCUCUGUUAAAGUUUCAGUCUUCUUCAUGUUGUUUAGUCCAGGUUUGUCUUUUCUCCCUUCUUUUGCGUUGUAAUGUCGAUACUGGUAGGGGAAAAUUGUGGACAAUCUGAAACCACUGCAUCCCUUCUUGGGUUUCCCACUUGCAGACCCAUAAACAGAUUUCUGCUGAGAAAGCUCUGCCACGUUGAAGUUUGAUGUCUACUCAUGUUUUUCAGACUAGAUCUGACUCUUCUCCCUGCUACAAUGUUUUGCUGGUGCCACUGGUGGGAGAAAUUUUCAAAGCAUGUGAAACUACUACAUCCCCUCUUGCAUUCCCCACAAAUAAAUCUUUACAGAGAGCUCUGCAACGUGGAAGUUCAGUGUCUAAUCCUGUUGCUGAACUGGAAUUGAGCUCACAAUUGUGGUAACUUUAAAGAAGACUAAUGCACCAUGCAUAUGAGGCUAGUAGUUAUUUGGUUCCAUUAAAAGAUGUGGAGGCGAUGAAAAAUUAACAGUGCAACUGAACAAGAGCAAAGGUUGUCAUUAGCUGAUGACUAAAAGCAUUGUUGUUGCUGUUCAUGACUGAAAAGGAGAGGUACAGCUUCAAUUAGACGUGAAUAAGCAGUGUUCCCACAGAAGACUGUGCAGACAUUCUCUUUCCAUUUGAUGCUCAACACUUGUUCGAGCAAAUCUGAGUCUAGCUACUUCACCUUUGAUGCUCUCAACCUCAAUCUGAUAAUGAGCCUCUAUCCAUAAUCUUUCUUCCCUUCCAUCAUCUUUCUUCCAUCACGUGCAGCACAGCUUGUGCGAGGGACCUACCUUUCAACCCGGUACAUGCAUGAUAAAUGUAUGAAUAUGUAAUCUAUAUGACGAACUCGCCCUUCGAGGGGUGACAUAUGAUCGCAACUCUUGCAUGAUGAAACAAGAAUCUUGAUUCUUGCACAAACUCUACAAUGAAAAUUUUCUGAGCGACGAUCAUUGUGUCACCCAUAAGUCUGGAGUUCAAGAUGCUUCAAGAAGGGCUUGCUUGGAUGCAAAACAAUGUCUACGGAGCAUACAUCCUAAAGACAGUUCUAAUCCUUUUUAAGUGGGACAAAAGGUAGGUUUACUACUUGGUCUCUAAAAAGGGUCUCUCGUUGUCCCAGUGAUUACCCUCUUGAAGGCAAUAUAGGGGCUUGUAGGCAAUGAGAUGGCACGUGUCCAACUAUUACCAGUCUAAGCACUCAACGAAGAGUUGGGGUUUACACAAACUUAAACCUUGACUAAAAUCAUAAGGUAAGCUGCUAGUCCCCCUCCUAACCUGAAGCUUGUGUGUGCUUUAAAAAAUUACACUAUGUGAUGCAUGAGACAAUUCUACAAAAUGCAUGGAUAAAACAAAAAUAAAAUAGGACAAAAUUGUAAAAACAUAAACGCAUCAAAAACACAAAGCUUAGUCCAAUAAUGUUGAAAACAAUACCUUCCCCAGUGGAGUCGUCAUUCUGUCGCACGUCCGAAAAUCCGCGCGGCAUCGGGCUUGACGACUUUUUCGUCUUCUCGUUUGCUUUGAUUACAUCGUUAGGAGUCGCCACCUAGUAUUUAAUUGAGGGCUACUAGGAAACCCGGGUGUACUGGUCUCGUCAGAGAUUCAUGGGUAAGGGACUGGUUGUGGUUAGGGAAGGUAUUAGCACCCCUAACGCACCCUACCUGAGGUAAGCUGCUUCGUGGACUUGAUGUGUUAAAGAAGUUUUAAAAUUCGGUUCAUUCAUCGAAUUUUAGAAAAUACAACUUACACUUACAUGUAAGUUCAUAAUUCUUUAUCCGUGAGCAAAUCAGAAUAUUAAAUUCUUCUUUAUUCUCGCAAUUUUAUCCUAAAAAAAACAUUCAUAAACAAAAUACACACCACACAUUCACUUUCAAGCUUCGUGGACUUGAUGUGAUUUAAAAAAUAAAAUUUUAGCCCAAUUCUAAGGCUUUGAUAAAUCAGUUAUUACUUCCCAAAAUAUAUGUAGAUACAUGUUCUAUAUUUUUAUGGAAAAUACAACAUGAUUUUUAUCUGUCCUUUAGAUAUUUGUGCAUAUAAAUUAAAAUAUUAAAUUCAUUUUUUUUUAUUCAAUAACAUACCUAAAAAACAAUACAAACACACACACAACUCUUUUUCUAUUAUUAUUUGUUUUUUCUUCUCUUUUCUUUUCUUUUUUUUUUUCUUACAUCCACAUUUACACCAAGUACAAAUUAUAAAAAAAAAACUCAAAAUUACACAAAUAUUACAUUACACAAUUUGAAAAUUACAAAAUAAUCCAAAAAAUCAGGAAAAACAACUCUGGGAUGCAUUCUGGGUCUGCCAGAACAGUAGCGGCGCGUCUCCCCACGCGCCUCCGCCACUAGCGGCGCGUGGAUUCACGCGCCGCUGCUGACAAUGACCGGAAAUGGGCAGAUCUGCCCUGCUUUCUUCUUCCCUUCCCUUCUCUGCUGGCUGUGAGAACCACAGUUACCUGCAAAGGUAAAAACACACAUGCAAAGCUUCCGAUUCUUUUUCCCUUUUUUUNNNNNN
This 9305-nucleotide long non-coding RNA is filed under the name Populus trichocarpa (black cottonwood). Its description in RNAcentral is "long non-coding RNA (PTRI_LNC000406)". The record is from RNAcentral. Lineage: Eukaryota; Viridiplantae; Streptophyta; Magnoliopsida; Malpighiales; Salicaceae.